RNAcentral lists this ribosomal RNA (465 nucleotides) under uncultured bacterium. Its description in RNAcentral is "partial 16S ribosomal RNA". It matches the Rfam family "Bacterial small subunit ribosomal RNA", at positions 28 to 507 of the family's 1533-position model. The record is from RNAcentral.
GACGAACGCUGGCGGCGUGCUUAACACAUGCAAGUCGAACGGAAAGGCCCUGCUUGCAGGGUACUCGAGUGGCGAACGGGUGAGUAACACGUGGGUGAUCUGCCCUGCACUUCGGGAUAAGCCUUGGAAACUGGGUCUAUUACCGGAUAGGAGCCAUUUUUAGUGUGAUGGUUGGAAAGUUUUUUCGGUGUAGGAUGAGCUCGCGGCCUAUCAGCUUGUUGGUGGGGUAAUGGCCUACCAAGGCGGCGACGGGUAGCCGGCCUGAGAGGGUGGACGGCCACAAUGGGACUGGGAUACAGCCCAGACUCCUACGGGAGGCAGCAGUGGGGAAUAUUGCACAAUGGGCGCAAGCCUGAUGCAGCGACGCCGCGUGGGGGAUGGCGGCCUUCGGGUUGUAAACUCGUUUCGCUAGGGACGAAGCUUUUUGUGACGGUACCUAGAUAAGAAGCACCGGCUAACUACGUG